UCUAUCUCUUCCCAGCUCCACAUCCAGUGACAUCAUGGCAACAGCUUGAAAUUGGCCAUGGUGGAGAUGCUAACUGCCUCCUAACUCUGAUAAAACCUAAAGAAUUUGUUGGUGGAAGAAAGUCCUAGAGUUUUAAAAAGCAGCUGCAGAAGAGACCAGGCCGCCUACACCCCUUGGCUUGUGGCCUCUUUACUCCACCUUGACAGCCAGCAAGGUGGCCUCUCUGGCCUUGACGCCAUCCAAGACCUGACCACAUGAAGUUGAGCUUUCAGCUAUGGGGAGCCAGAAACACACCCUGCCUUGCGUGCUCAGCUUGGACUGUAACAGUACAAGCCCAGUGACAGCUGGUGCCUGGAAACCAUCUUGCUGCUGUUUCCUGUGAGUGGAGAGGAUCUUCUUCUGCAGAGGAGAGGAAACAGUGUCAUCAACUGGGGUGUGUUCCUAUGCUUCCAAGGAUCCUGGAGUCAUCUGCUGGAAGGGGAGACAGUGAACUCUGCAAGGGGAAGUUGGCUAUGUAUUUUCGUGCCCCUCAGUAGUCAAAUCCUAUGGAAACAAACAAGGCUGGUCUCUGUAGAUGGGACCUCCCACCCACGUAGGGUCAGUUUUUUCCCCAGAAUAACAGAGGGAAGGCAGGGCCAGAAACAUGGUUUGGGAGUUGCUCUCCUAGAGACCCUGGACUGUUUCAGGGCUCAUCGCCUCCUUGGUCCAAGACGCAGUAGCUGGGCCCAGUUGACAAAAGCAGCUCCAAACAAGAGGGCAUGAAGAACCAACUCGAAAGCUCCUCGGGGCCCCAGGGAAGUAGGACGGAGAGAACCUCAACCACCAAGUUCCGCAAAUUUCACAAGUUUAUUACAAACCCCAGAAGUGUUGUUGGGUUGCUUAAAAACGAUUUAAUUUUUGCAAUCUCCCGAAGAGAGCGGGUGCCCCAAAUUAAAACUGAUGUUUCAAAAAUAAUAGCUAUGAGGAUGAAAGACAGUCCUUCUCAUGGGAGGGGAGCAAGGAGGUGCACAGAGAAGCACCCUAGUGUCAAAGCUGUAGGGAGCCCUUUCUUGUGAUGUAUGAGUCUUAGGAGUCUGUUGCCAUGAUGGGGCCCAUUCUCCCGUUAUCUAACCAGAAUAGUCACCUUCUUGUGAUUCACCUAGAAAUCUGAUUCUUAUCAGAACUCUGAGCAACACAAGGGAGGAGGAGGCCUCCUGAUGUCAUGGAGAAAAGAAUGAGCUAUCGCAUCAGAUGGGCCUGGAUCUGAAUCACAGCUCAGCCACUUAUACUUACUUUGUACCCCUGACAAGUUACUUAAGUUAACUGAGCCUCCGUUACCUCAAUUGCAAAAUGAAGAUCAACAGCACUGAUCUUGCUUGGUUCCAGGGAUGCUUGGUUCCAGGGAUGAGAUGGUUGUGCUGUUAAGCAUGAAAACUGGUACCUAUGGGACCUUGACGAUAGUUGCUACUAUUACUGUUGCUUUUCAUGUCAUUAUUGCCAGCAUGAAUAUGAUCCUCAAAGUGGCCUUCCUCAUACAAUUCUCACAAGUCCAGCGGUAAAGGAAUUGAGUAUAUGAAACUUCAUACAUGUCAGAGCUCUCUUUGGAGGGUCCAGCGGUGGGGUACCAAGGUGGAGCUCCAGUUACAGCAUGUACUUCCCCAGGCACAGGGCACCGUCCUCAACAGCUGGCAUCAUUGCACCUGCAGCAUCUGCCCCUUCCCAGAGCCUCUCUCUUACGCUUUUCACAUCACUGGAGAAGCAGCUUGCAGGACCACACCGUAUUUCACUUUUACGGUGCAAAGCCAGAAGGUGCCCAAAGGAGAAGCACCUACUCCCGUGGUGAGAAGGUGGGCACAGGUGCAGCUGCGACUCACCAAGAGCCAGGCUGCCAGCCACACAGCCAGGGACACCGCAAUGGGGGAAGGGGCAGCAAGGAUGUGUCAAAGAUAUUCCUUUCCAAAUGACUUUGGUUGAAAGAAAUGCUUCCGGUUCGUAACCUGGCCUCACAUUUUAUAGCUAAAUAUGAGCCGGGUGCGUUGAUGGAGCCAUUUUUGACAUAUUUCAAUUGCACUGAUUGCCUGACAUCAUUCAAGUCACCCACGUUUCCCCAGCACAGGCCACACACUCGGGUAGAUUCAGUUAUUUUCACGAGGACAGCCUCCCCAGCCCUGCAGAAGUCAUUGUCUUUUUCUGGGCAGCCCCUGUGGAUGGAUUCAGCUGCAGUGACCAGCACACAUGGUGGUUAAUGGGAGUUCUAAGAGGGAGAGGCCAGUGAAGGUCGGGGCUCAUAUGGGAAACCAAGUCAUUUCCCACCAGGAACGUUUGGCACACUGACCCCUCACCCAGGCAGCUGAUAUGAUGGCUAAAGGGAACAACAAGUGACCACACCCACUCUUGAGAGCAACUGCAAAUUGCAUGUGGCCACGAGGGUCUCUGUAAUCUGUUUCUGUUUGCUAAAUGCCUCUCUACCGGGGGCAGUUAAGACACUCGGAGAGUGGACAAACUUGGAGGAUGUUGCUCAGUUCCAGAAAAGGAAAAAAACAUAUUACACGUACAUUGGAGGUAAAUCAGCCUGACUGGUUCUCGAGAACUCGACGAUCUCAAAUGUCCACAAAUAAUUGUGCAAAGUGGAGACCAACAGGCAGAGAAUCCAAGUAGAUAGUGACAAUAGUAAACACUGUGCUAGGCACUAUUUUAAGAGCUUUUGUAUAUUUUAAGAGCUGUUUGGCUGGGCACAGUGGCUCAUGCCUAUAAUCCCCAUACUUUGGAGGCUGAGGUGGGAGGAGUGCUUGAGGCCAGAAGUUCAAAACUAGCCUGGGAAACAGAGCAAGACCCCAUCUAUAUAAAAGCAUGUUUUAAAAAUAGCCAGGUAUGGUGGCAUGCACCUGUACUCCUAGCUACUCAGGAAGCUGAAAUAGGAAGAUUCCUUGAGCCCAGGAGGUCAAGGCUGCAGUGAGCUAGCAUCUUGCCACUGCACUCCAGCCUGGAUGACAGACUGAGACCCUGUCUCUAAAAACAAACAAACAAGAGCUUUAUGUAUAUUAAAUGUUUACAUGUAAUCCUUAUUAUAUAAGGUAAGUACUAUUAUCCCUGUUUAUGGGGCAAGUACUAUUAUUAUCCCCAUUUCACUGAUGAGGAAAUCAAGGCAAGUGAAGUCACAUCCCCAAGGUGUGACAGAGCUGGUAAGUGACACAGCUGGGAUUUGAACACUCGCUGUCUGGCUUCUGACAAGGGUCUGUGUGCUUAACCUUGAGGCUAAGUUGAAUAAAUACAGCACAUCUUGCCAAGCAAAGAAAA
Molecule: long non-coding RNA, 3276 nt
Organism: Homo sapiens (human)
Lineage: Eukaryota; Metazoa; Chordata; Mammalia; Primates; Hominidae
Exons: 3
Source: RefSeq, a predicted model, not a curated record